ACAUGCUGGCGUGGGGGAAGGACUGGAUUCCUUUUCCUUUCUGCGUUUCUGUCCUGUGGAUAUUCUCACAUCGAGGAGAAGAUGGGAGGAGACUUUCUAAGGUCUCUCACCCUGGUGGCACUGCCCUCUGCUCUGCUGCCCAACAGGCUGGUCUGCAGAAAACCCUUGGCUUCCUUUUACUUCUCCUAAUUCAUUUUUCAAAAAUCAGCCAAAGCACUGCUGGAAACCUGGAGAACACAGGCAGCAAUUGGUAGGUGAGACGGCACAAACCAGGGGUCAGAGGACCAUGGUUCUAGGCCUGGCUCUGUCACCACCUUGCUGGCAGCCUUGAGCAGGUCACUUCCAGACUUCGAGCAUGUCUGGCCCUCAGUUUCUCCAUCGGUAAUGUGGCAAUAUAGGGCCAGUUGAUUUCUAAAGUUCUUGAAAUUCUGACUUUGUAUGGCUCUAUCUUUCUUGAUCCAGGACUAGGGAAAGAGCCCUGGACUGGAAUUCUUAUCACUCUGAGGCUAAGAAUCAGUUCCACCAUCCAAAGUCCAUGAGGCCAGGGCAGUGCUACAGUCCGCAGGGCCAGGGCAGUGCUGCAGUCCACGGGGCCAGAGGACAGUGCUGCAGCCCACGGGGCCAGAGGACAGUGCUGCAGCCCACGGGGCCAGAGGGCAGUGCUGUAGUCCACGGGGCCAGAGGGCAUGCUGCAGCCGUGAGGCCAGCACAGUGCUACAGUCCGUGGGGCCAGAGGGCAGUGCUACAGUCCGUGGGGCCAGAGGGCAGUGCUACAGUCCGCGGGGCCAGAGGGCAGUGCUGUAGUCUGCGGGGUCAGAGGGCAGUGCUGUAGUCCGCGGGGCCAGGGCAGUGCUGCAGUCUGUGGGGUCAGAGGGCAGUGCUACAGUCCGCGGGGCCAGAGGGCAGUGCUGCAGUCCGCGGGGCCAGAGGGCAGUGCUGCAGUCCGCGAGGUCAGAGGGCAGUGCUACAGUCCGCGGGGCCAGAGGGCAGUGCUGUAGUCCGCGGGGUCAGAGGGCAGUGCUGCAGUCCGCGGGGUCAGAGGGCAGUGCUGCAGUCCGCGGGGCCAGAGGGCAGUGCUGCAGUCCGCGGGGUCAGAGGGCAGUGCUGCAGUCCAUGAGGCCAGGGCAGUGCUGCAGUCCACAGGGCCAGAGGGCAGUGCUGAGGAUGGUGCUGAGGACGAUGCUGAGGGCGGUGCUAAGGGCGGUGCUGCAGCCACUUUGCAGGUGAAAGGGACCCUCAAGGGCUGAAUAGAGGAAGAAAAAGAAACAUUCUGGCCGGGUGUGGUGGCUCACACCUGUAAUCCCAGGACUUUGGGAGGCCGAGGCGAGCGGAUCACCUGAGGUCGGGAGUUCAAGACCAGCCUGACCAACAUGAAGAAACCCCGUCUCUACUAAAAAUACAAAAUUAGCCGGGUGUGGUGGCGCAUGCCUGUAAUCCCAGCUACUCAGAAGGCUGAGGCAAGAGAAUUGCUUGAACCUGGGAGGCGGAGGUUGCAGUGAGCCGAGAUCGCACCAUUGCACUCCAGCCUGGGCGACAAGAGAGAAACUCCGUCUCAAAAAAAAAAAAA
This 1567-nucleotide long non-coding RNA is filed under the name Macaca mulatta (Rhesus monkey). Its description in RNAcentral is "lncRNA (ENSMMUG00000053601.1)". The record is from RNAcentral. Lineage: Eukaryota; Metazoa; Chordata; Mammalia; Primates; Cercopithecidae.